GUACUGCUGAGGAGUCCCAUAAUAGAAUGAAACGUCUGUUCAGUAC
RNAcentral lists this non-coding RNA (46 nucleotides) under Schistosoma curassoni. Lineage: Eukaryota; Metazoa; Platyhelminthes; Trematoda; Strigeidida; Schistosomatidae. The record is from RNAcentral.